RNAcentral lists this transfer RNA (74 nucleotides) under Candidatus Woesebacteria bacterium. Its description in RNAcentral is "tRNA-Pro". It matches the Rfam family "tRNA". From Rfam's summary of the family: Transfer RNA (tRNA) molecules are approximately 80 nucleotides in length. Their secondary structure includes four short double-helical elements and three loops (D, anti-codon, and T loops). RNAcentral also lists the same sequence under 3 other names. The record is from RNAcentral. Lineage: Bacteria; Candidatus Woeseibacteriota.
CGGGGAAUAGCUCAGAUGGCUAGAGCGUACGGUUUGGGACCGUAAGGCCGCAGGUUCGAGUCCUGUUUCCCCGA